AGAAUUCAGAGACAAAAGGUGGUUGGUGAAGCUGACAUUGGACUCCAUUCUGCUUAAUUGCCUAACCCCAUCUCCCUUCAAUCUACCUACCAUAACCAUUUUCUUCAAAAUUUUCUCAAAAAAACAAUUUGGUCUUCAAACAACUCCAAGAACACAGAGAGAGAGUGGAAAAACUGAAGUUUUUCACAAGAAAUGGCACAGAUUAGUAGCAUGGCACAAGGGAUACAGACCCUUAGUCUGAAUUCCUCCAAUCUUUCUAAAACACAAAAGGGUCCUCUUGUUUCAAAUUCUCUCUUCUUUGGAUCAAAGAAAGUAACCCAAAUUUCAGCAAAAUCAUUAGGGGUGUUUAAGAAAGAUUCAGUUUUGAGGGUGGUGAGGAAGUCAUCUUUUAGGAUUUCUGCAUCAGUGGCUACUGCAGAGAAACCCCAUGAGAUUGUGCUAGAACCCAUCAAAGAUAUAUCUGGUACUGUUAAAUUACCCGGUUCGAAAUCCCUUUCCAAUCGUAUUCUCCUUCUUGCUGCCCUUUCUGAGGGAAGGACUGUUGUUGACAAUUUACUGAGUAGUGACGACAUUCAUUACAUGCUUGGUGCGUUGAAAACACUUGGACUUCAUGUUGAAGAUGACAAUGAAAACCAACGAGCAAUUGUGGAAGGUUGUGGUGGGCAGUUUCCUGU
Molecule: unclassified non-coding RNA, 674 nt
Filed under: Hevea brasiliensis (rubber tree)
Lineage: Eukaryota; Viridiplantae; Streptophyta; Magnoliopsida; Malpighiales; Euphorbiaceae
Source: RNAcentral